This 315-nucleotide ribosomal RNA is filed under the name uncultured cyanobacterium. RNAcentral's name for it is "bacterial SSU rRNA". It matches the Rfam family "Bacterial small subunit ribosomal RNA", at positions 376 to 707 of the family's 1533-position model. The record is from RNAcentral. Lineage: Bacteria; Bacillati; Cyanobacteriota.
CGAAAGCCUGACGGAGCAAUACCGCGUGAGGGAGGAAGGCUCUUGGGUUGUAAACCUCAAAACUUAGGGAAGAAGAAAGUGACGGUACCUAAUAUAAGCAUCGGCUAACUCCGUGCCAGCAGCCGCGGUAAUACGGAGGAUGCAAGCGUUAUCCGGAAUCAUUGGGCGUAAAGCGUCCGUAGGUGGCAUUUCAAGUCUGCUGUCAAAGACCGAAGCUCAACUUCGGGUAGGCGGUGGAAACUGAAAAGCUAGAGUAUAGUAGGGGUAGAGGGAAUUCCUAGUGUAGCGGUGAAAUGCGUAGAGAUUAGGAAGAAC